RNAcentral lists this ribosomal RNA (520 nucleotides) under uncultured bacterium. RNAcentral's name for it is "bacterial SSU rRNA". It matches the Rfam family "Archaeal small subunit ribosomal RNA", at positions 345 to 866 of the family's 1478-position model. The record is from RNAcentral.
AACCUCCGCAAUGUGAGAAAUCGCGACGGGGGGAUCCCAAGUGCCAUUCUUAACGGGAUGGCUUUUCAUUAGUGUAAAGAGCUUUUGGAAUAAGAGUUGGGCAAGACCGGUGCCAGCCGCCGCGGUAACACCGGCAGCUCUAGUGGUAACAAUUUUUAUUGGGCCUAAAGCGUCCGUAGCCGGUUUAAUAAGUCUCUGGUGAAAUCCUGCAGCUUAACUGUGGGAAUUGCUGGAGAUACUAUUAGACUUGAGACCGGGAGAGGUUAGAGGUACUCCCAGAGUAGAGGUGAAAUUCUGUAAUCCUGGGAGGACCGCCUGUUGCGAAGGCGUCUAACUGGAACGGUUCUGACGGUGAGGGACGAAAGUUAGGGGCGCGAACCGGAUUAGAUACCCGGGUAGUCCUAACUGUAAACGAUGCGGACUUGGUGUUGGGGUGGCUUUGAGCUGCUUCAGUGCCGAAGGGAAGCUGUAAGUCCGCCGCCUGGGAAGUACGGUCGCAAGACUGAAACUUAAAGGAAUU